Bombyx mori (domestic silkworm) is the source of this 99-nucleotide non-coding RNA. Lineage: Eukaryota; Metazoa; Arthropoda; Insecta; Lepidoptera; Bombycidae. The record is from RefSeq and is marked provisional.
ACAUUCGCGAGCUCCUUAAUAUUUGUAAGGUUAAGGACGUAUUAAUGAUUUUAUUGAAAGAAAUAAAGAUGUUGACGUCGCCUUUGGGGCUUGAAGAAC